GACGAACGCUGGCGGCGUGCUUAACACAUGCAAGUCGAACGGAAAGGCCCUGCUUUUGUGGGGUGCUCGAGUGGCGAACGGGUGAGUAACACGUGAGUAACCUGCCCUUGACUUUGGGAUAACUUCAGGAAACUGGGGCUAAUACCGGAUAGGAGCUCCUGCUGCAUGGUGGGGGUUGGAAAGUUUCGGCGGUUGGGGAUGGACUCGCGGCUUAUCAGCUUGUUGGUGGGGUAGUGGCUUACCAAGGCUUUGACGGGUAGCCGGCCUGAGAGGGUGACCGGCCACAUUGGGACUGAGAUACGGACCAGACUCCUACGGGAGGCAGCAGUGGGGAAUAUUGCACAAUGGGCCGAAGCCUGAUGCAGCAACGCCGCGUGCGGGAUGACGGCCUGCGGGUUGUAAACCGCUUUCGCCUGUGACGAAGCGUGAGUGACGGUAAUGGGUAAAGAAGCACCGGCUAACUACGUG
Molecule: ribosomal RNA, 468 nt
Filed under: uncultured bacterium
Lineage: Bacteria
Description: partial 16S ribosomal RNA
Rfam family: Bacterial small subunit ribosomal RNA
Source: RNAcentral